This 243-nucleotide ribosomal RNA is filed under the name uncultured bacterium. Its description in RNAcentral is "partial 16S ribosomal RNA". It matches the Rfam family "Bacterial small subunit ribosomal RNA", at positions 524 to 765 of the family's 1533-position model. The record is from RNAcentral.
UACGUAGGGUGCGAGCGUUGUCCGGAAUUACUGGGCGUAAAGCGUGCGCAGGCGGUUUUGUAAGCCAGAUGUGAAAUCCCCGGGCUUAACCUGGGAAUGGCAUUUGACGACUGCAAGGCUCGAGUGCGGCAGAGGAGACUGGAAUUCCUGGUGUAGCAGUGAAAUGCGUAGAUAUCAGGAGGAACACCGAUGGCGAAGGCAGGUCUCUGGGCUGACACUGACGCUCAUGCACGAAAGCGUGGG